ACACUCCUACGGGAGGCAGCAGUGGGGAAUUUUGGACAAUGGGGGCAACCCUGAUCCAGCAAUGCCGCGUGAGUGAAGAAGGCCUUCGGGUUGUAAAGCUCUUUUGUCAGGGAAGAAACGGUAGUAGCGAAUAACUAUUACUAAUGACGGUACCUGAAGAAUAAGCACCGGCUAACUACGUGCCAGCAGCCGCGGUAAUACGUAGGGUGCAAGCGUUAAUCGGAAUUACUGGGCGUAAAGCGUGCGCAGGCGGUUGUGUAAGUCAGAUGUGAAAUCCCCGGGCUCAACCUGGGAAUUGCAUUUGAGACUGCACGGCUAGAGUGUGUCAGAGGGGGGUAGAAUUCCACGUGUAGCAGUGAAAUGCGUAGAUAUGUGGAGGAAUACCGAUGGCGAAGGCAGCCCCCUGGGAUAACACUGACGCUCAUGCACGAAAGCGUGGGGAGCAAACAGGAUUAGAAACCCGUGUAGUCCC
This 472-nucleotide ribosomal RNA is filed under the name uncultured organism. RNAcentral's name for it is "partial 16S ribosomal RNA". It matches the Rfam family "Bacterial small subunit ribosomal RNA", at positions 333 to 797 of the family's 1533-position model. The record is from RNAcentral.